RNAcentral lists this ribosomal RNA (218 nucleotides) under Acinetobacter baumannii. Its description in RNAcentral is "partial 23S ribosomal RNA". It matches the Rfam family "Bacterial large subunit ribosomal RNA", at positions 1 to 212 of the family's 2925-position model. The record is from RNAcentral. Lineage: Bacteria; Pseudomonadati; Pseudomonadota; Gammaproteobacteria; Moraxellales; Moraxellaceae.
GUUGUAUAGUCAAGUAAUUAAGUGCAUGUGGUGGAUGCCUUGGCAGUCAGAGGCGAUGAAAGACGUGAUAGCCUGCGAAAAGCUCCGGGGAGGCGGCAAAUAUCCUUUGAUCCGGAGAUGUCUGAAUGGGGGAACCCACCUACUUUAAGGUAGGUAUUGCAACAUGAAUACAUAGUGUUGCAAGGCGAACGAGGGGAAGUGAAACAUCUCAGUACCCU